GGCUCCUGUUAUCCAAGGCAAACAGAGGACUUGUACACACAGACAGACAACCAGACAGACAGACCUGCUGCACGCUGAUUCCCAGCACAGCCACAGCUCUACUGAACUUGGCACCGGCUGCCGUAUUCUCUGAGAAGGAAAAAACGCUGCACACCUCCGUGGGAGAACUCAGAUAAAGACUUGCCUUCAGUCUUGUAGUGGCGCUGUCACACACUGAUAUACAAAUACGCAUUUAGACACACGCAUACAGAAACACACACACACACCAGGCAGUCAGCCAGGCACACACUCACUCACACUCACACUCACACUCACAGAGGAGCAAACAGGCUCUUUCUCUCCCCCUCUCUCUCACCCUUGCUCGCUCAGCUGCUCUCCCUCUCUCUCUCUCUCUCUCUCUCUCUCCCUCCCCCUCUCUCUCUCUCCCUCCCUCCCUCCCAUCCACACACACACGCACACACCACUACAGUAUAUCAGCUAGCGACUACCGGAGAGCCAGAGGGGAGUGCAGAAAUGAAUGUGAAGAUCCUGACGCUGGUGAUUGUGCUCUUGGUGUCUCUGCUGUGUUCUGCCAGUGCUGCGCAGAGCCCAGUUCCGGUCCGAUGCUCUCGUAUCCAGUCUGUGGCAGCUGCUUGUUUACACAUCAAGGGCCUCUCAGGCUGCCUCAGCCUCUGCUUCACGGAAGGGGAGAACGGAGAGCAAGAUGUUGGGUGUGGAGGAGUAGGAGGAAGGAGGGAUGGAGGGACAGAUGAGGAAAGGGAAAAAAACAAGUGAGAGGCAAUGUUUUCCAAAUGCUCUGCGAAACUGUGAAAGUGAAUCGAUGAGACGGUGACCAAUUGAUUCAUAAUCAGUGUAGCUGAGCAAUGAGCGAAGACCAUUCCAGUAAACAAACAUAAGAUUCGUUGAAACGGUGUAUUCAUUCACUGUUACACAAAAACAAUUAAACACAGCAAGGAUUCAAUUUCAAAGGAUUCAAUUUCAGAGAGUCACGCUUGAGGAGCCUUGUUGAUUCUGUAUCCAUAAAUAACCUUCUCACCUGUUGGUAGUUUACUCGUUGACCUGGAAGGACAUCUAAUUUCAUAUUUCUUGGCGACGGAGUUAAGGCUGGAGCCACUGGUAAAUGUACAAGGCCAGAGAUUUGUCAUGUGGUCCCUCCCGGCAUUCUACAUAAACCAGAUUUUCUCUGCUAAAGAAAUAGUGCCUCAUUCUCCAUUCCCUGUGUGCUUCCCCCCACUGACGAG
Molecule: long non-coding RNA, 1241 nt
Organism: Oncorhynchus tshawytscha (Chinook salmon)
Lineage: Eukaryota; Metazoa; Chordata; Actinopteri; Salmoniformes; Salmonidae
Source: Ensembl